Chlorocebus sabaeus (green monkey) is the source of this 553-nucleotide non-coding RNA. Lineage: Eukaryota; Metazoa; Chordata; Mammalia; Primates; Cercopithecidae. The record is from RefSeq and is a predicted model, not a curated record.
ACUCCCAGGAAACAGAAAGCCUGAGGGAGGCUCUGCUGUCCUCUCGGUCCCACCUUCAAGAGCUCGAAAAGGAGCUGGAGCACGAGAAGAUGGAAAGCAGCAGCUUUUGAAAGACUUGAGGGAGAAGCAGCAAGAGGUCUUGCAUUUCAGGGAGGAACGUCUUUCCCUCCAGGAAAACGACUCCAGACUGCAGCACAAGCUGGUCCUCCUGCAGCAACAGUGUGAAGAGAAACAGCAGCUCUUUGAGUCCCUCCAGUCAGAGCUACAAAUCUGCGAGGCACUUUAUGGCAAUUCCAAGAAGGGGCUGAAAGCUUACAGCCUGGAUGCCUGUCACCAAAUCCCUUUGAGCAGUGACCUGAGCCACCUGGUGGCAGAGGUCCGAACUCUGAGAGGGCAGCUGGAGCAGAGCAUUCAGGGGAACAACUGUCUGCGACUGCAGCUGCAACAGCAGCUGGAUAGCGGUGCUGGCAAAGCCAGCCUCAGCCCCUCCUCUGUUAACCAGAACUUCCCAGCCAGCGUUGACCCUGGAAACAAGCAGCUGCUCCUCCAAGGU